CCCCGCCGCGCGGCGGGCGGGNNNGGGGCACGGGGGGAGGAAAGUAGGGGAUCGCAAGACCUCGNNNUAUUGGAGCGGCCGAUAUCGGAUUAGCUAGUUGGUGGGGUAAUGGCCCACCAAGGCGACGAUCCGUAGCUGGUUUGAGAGGACGACCAGCCACACUGGGACUGAGACACGGCCCAGACUCCUACGGGAGGCAGCAGUGGGGAAUUUUGGACAAUGGGGGCAACCCUGAUCCAGCCAUCCCGCGUGUGCGAUGAAGGCCUUCGGGUUGUAAAGCACUUUUGGCAGGAAAGAAACGGCGCUGGAUAAUACCUGGGGNNNNNGACGGUACCUGCAGAAUAAGCACCGGCUAACUACGUGCCAGCAGCCGCGGUAAUACGUAGGGUGCAAGCGUUAAUCGGAAUUACUGGGCGUAAAGCGUGCGCAGGCG
Molecule: ribosomal RNA, 433 nt
Filed under: uncultured bacterium
Lineage: Bacteria
Description: partial 16S ribosomal RNA
Rfam family: Bacterial small subunit ribosomal RNA
Source: RNAcentral